UUUCACUCUUAGCUUGGUUCUAAAGCUCCUUCGUUUCUUUCUCCCUUUCUCCCUCCGUUUCUUUCAUUCACAGAAACUCAGCCAAAAAACCCUAGCAAUGUAAGCCUACACCACCGCCGCCGCAAGGAGUGGCAUACUGAUGCCGUCCGUUCGUCUAUCUAGCUUCCCUCGUGCUCCAAGUCUCCAACCCCCGUUCGCUGUCACCGAUCGCAGCUGCUUCCUCGAGCUCGGCGUCCGUCGUCUUUGUCUGCUCAGCCGCGCUUCCGCCGCCGUUGGUUGCCGUUAACGUUCGCGUCUUCGUUCAGCCGUCGUCUUCGUUCGCAUUCUUCGCCGUUCAAGUUUGCUCGGCGUUCACCGUUCGCGUUCACUCGCCGUUCACCGUUCGCGUUCACUCGCCGUUCACCGUUCGCGUUCACUCGCCGUUCACCGUUCGGGUUCGCGUUCGUCUGGAAGCCACGUUGCCCUGCUUCAAACUCUGCGACCAACCCGUGCGCUCCACCUAGCUGUCGAACUGCUCUCUUUUGUCGCCGCCGAAGUUCCUUGAGUUCUC
Molecule: non-coding RNA, 550 nt
Organism: Arachis ipaensis
Lineage: Eukaryota; Viridiplantae; Streptophyta; Magnoliopsida; Fabales; Fabaceae
Source: RefSeq, a predicted model, not a curated record